Molecule: non-coding RNA, 289 nt
Organism: Salvelinus sp. IW2-2015
Lineage: Eukaryota; Metazoa; Chordata; Actinopteri; Salmoniformes; Salmonidae
Source: RefSeq, a predicted model, not a curated record
GACUGCACAGACACCACAGAGCAUGUAGACAGGCUGUGUGACGGCAAAGUUUCUGAAAGGCUAGUGUAUAGGACCAGCACGGGAGAGAUGAACAGAGGCAGCUGCUGUCAGUGUUGUGCUUUUAGUCCAAGUUGUAAAAGCAAGGAGAGCAGAGACUGGCUACUCUUUAGUUGACUGAUCUAGCUGGCAAGGAUCAUAUGGUGAUAGGGGUCUCAUCAGGGUCAGGCAGCCAGGGAAGACCAGUCUGUGAUGGAGCUGAGGACCUGAGCCCUAGGACCAUGCCUCAGGA